GAGUGAGGCUCGCUAGCAAUAAAAUCUGCUAAAUACUAGACUCAUGGUUGAACUCCAUGACUCACCCG
This 68-nucleotide transfer RNA is filed under the name Grammoplites scaber (rough flathead). RNAcentral's name for it is "tRNA-Ser". The record is from RNAcentral. Lineage: Eukaryota; Metazoa; Chordata; Actinopteri; Perciformes; Platycephalidae. RNAcentral also lists the same sequence under 1 other name.